This is a long non-coding RNA of Catharus ustulatus (Swainson's thrush), 1865 nucleotides long. RefSeq lists it as uncharacterized. The transcript is spliced from 3 exons. The record is from RefSeq and is a predicted model, not a curated record. Lineage: Eukaryota; Metazoa; Chordata; Aves; Passeriformes; Turdidae.
GGCUGCGAGCCGCCGCGCCGGGCCGGGCCCCGGCAGGUGGGCGAGCCGUGCCGAACCGGGGCUGCUGCGGGGUCUUCAACAUGGCUGGCACUGACACAGCUACCUUCCUGCAUGCGGCUCAGUGCGACGUCACUUGAUGGUGUUGAAGAUGGACUGCAGAGGAGAAGGACAGAACACGAGCCCAGGGGCAGGGAGCCUGGCCAGGGGCCCCUCAGGUGCUGUGCAGCAGCUGGUGUUGUGAAUCAGGCCGUCACCAGUCGGAGAACGGCUACUUCACAACACCAGGGUCGCACCGCACCACGCUUCGACCGCCAGCUGGACAGGAGCAGCGUCUCCUGCGGGCAGGCAAGGGAUGUGGAGCACCUUCUGGCUGCUUCCAUGCAAGCCCAGACCUGCAAAGGUAAUCAGGUGCUCAACUCCUAUUUAGGCACCAGCCUCCCACUGAAGUCUGAAAUAGAAGUUAGGCCCCUAAAUAUCUCUGUGGGUCUGGCCCCGAAACCCUGCGUCGCAGUGCAGUGCAGAGCUUCAGCAGGCACAGGGCAGCACUGGCAGCAGUGUGGUCACUGCCCCUUCACAUGCCUCAAAAAACAGGUAGCUUUUAUUAAGCUGUGGAAAACAGAAAAAAAAAAACAAACCCUCUGCAUGCUCCAUGUGUGGUUCUCUCUCACAGUAGCAUCUGUGGUCCUUGCCUGUGACUUGUUCUGAUCCCUCCCUAUCUCUAUACCCAACCGCACAGUCUCUGUAAAAGGUCCUGUACCUACCAGGAAAAAGUUGGGCUCCUUGCUGUUGAUACAAAACCUGGUCAGCCUCUGCCAGCAUGCCUCUAUCUAAACCAGCCCUACGUGUGUUGUGAUGAAAGAAAAAAUAAACAGAAGUGGUACAAACAACUUCAGUCCUUAAAAUCAAGAAAAGGUUGCUAAAGCAAUGCCUCAUAAAUUCCUAGGUGUGGAGGGACAGUAGGCACACUCAAACCAAGUGACCCUUUAACAUGUGCCAAACAUUUCAGAUUUUAAAAACAGGCCCUUCUCUGCCUCCUCCUUUUUGCCUCCUCCUCACAUCCACCAGUGUGAUGUUAGUUUGAGAGGAUUGGGUUACAGAGCAGUGCUUUCCAUCCAAAUCUGGGUCAUGUACAUGGAGGUUGGCACACACCUGAUGGUCAGGGUAUACAAUCCCUUAAGUCAAACUGAAACACUGUUCAGUUUUGAUAUCAGAAAACAAGCACUUGGUCUCAGGAUGAGGUUUUCUUUGGUGGGUUUUCCCUUCCUCCCACCCCUUAGGAUUGCUCUGUGCUGUCAGGUGUGUCUGGCUGUUCCCUUGUAUGAUAUAAAAGACUAGAUAUGUCUAAAGCAAAGAGUGGAGAAGUGUAGAGAGAAACUAUUCAGGUAACAUAGAACCAAUGAAGGUUUUUUUGAAAGCUUUCUUCAUUAUCCUAACUCGUCUGAGUGAAGAUGGCAGUAAAAAUUAUUUAAAUUCCAUGCUGGAUGUAUUAUUGCUGGCAGGGAGAUAGGCAUAGGGGACAGUCAGGAUCUGAAAUAGUAUGGGACAGCCUGAAAAUGCAUAUUAAAGGUGACAAUGGUGGUUUCACUGGGCCUAUCCUAAUCUUUAUGUUCAGGUAGACUCCUUGCACAGGUAGCCCUGAAUUCCUUUUAUAGCAAAAAGUCAAAUACUUUGAACAAUGUAAGAGGUGUAUGGGAGGCUUAUUUGUACAUUAGGAGAGCAAUCUGUGGAUGGAUGAAGGCUAGCACUGGGUUUUUGUCGUUGAUGAGAGGAAAAACUAGAUCAUGCUUCUUGUUCAUGCACUAUGAAUUUGUAAAUUCAACAUGUAAGAACAUUGUUUUAUUAAACCUGUUCUCUGCUAACACAAA